AUUGAAACACCGGUUCCUGUACGAUCACCUAAGUUAAGCACCGUCAAGCUUGGUCAGUACCUAGAUGGGUGACUGCUUGGAAAUAUGCAGGUGCUGUAAG
Acanthosepion pharaonis is the source of this 100-nucleotide non-coding RNA. The record is from the annotation of a GenBank genome assembly. NCBI's taxonomy places the organism in Eukaryota, Metazoa, Mollusca, Cephalopoda, Sepiida, Sepiidae.